CAACCACAGCUUCUCCAACCACAACACCUGCACCAACCACGACAACAUCUGCUCCAACAACAACUGCAUCUAUAACAAUUUCUACAACAGUACCAACUACCAUUAGCACAAAUGAGAUGAGAGUUUUCCGCCGGAUGAACUUCAGGUCUCCUACUGAUACCUUUACCAACAAUCUUGAAAUCAAGUCUUCAGAUUCUUUCAGCCAACGAUCCCAACUUUUAUGGAAUCGUCUUCAUCCCCUCUACAAAGAAGCAUUUAGGUCAUUCUUGGGAAUGAUUAUUAUCUCAUUCAGAAGAGGAUCAGUUAUCAACACGCUGGACCUCGAAUUUCAAGCAACAGAUGUUCCUAGUAAUCAAGCAAUCGGAAAUGUUUUAAUCAAUGAGGCACCAAACAUAACUGAAUUCUCCGUGGAAGCGUCAUCGGUGUUUGUUGG
Molecule: long non-coding RNA, 433 nt
Organism: Xiphophorus maculatus (southern platyfish)
Lineage: Eukaryota; Metazoa; Chordata; Actinopteri; Cyprinodontiformes; Poeciliidae
Exons: 3
Source: RefSeq, a predicted model, not a curated record